RNAcentral lists this ribosomal RNA (270 nucleotides) under uncultured bacterium. Its description in RNAcentral is "partial 16S ribosomal RNA". It matches the Rfam family "Bacterial small subunit ribosomal RNA", at positions 334 to 601 of the family's 1533-position model. The record is from RNAcentral.
GUGGCCUACGGGGCGCAGCAGUGAGGAAUAUUGGUCAAUGGGCGAGAGCCUGAACCAGCCAAGUCGCGUGAGGUAAGACGGCCCUACGGGUUGUAAACCUCUUUUGUCAGGGAGCAAGAACGGAUACGUGUAUCCGAGCGCGAGUACCUGAAGAAAAAGCAUCGGCUACCUCCGUGCCAGCAGCCGCGGUAAUACGGAGGAUGCGAGCGUUAUCCGGAUUUAUUGGGUUUAACGGGUGCGUCGGCGGGCUGCCCAGUCAGCGGGCAGAUU